CAUGAAAUAUACCCCGUUUUUCUUCGCAUUCUUUUUUACCUUCCCCUGAUUGGGAGGCGUUUCGUCGUGUGAUAAAGAAUGCGAAGACGAACAACAAGGCCUCCCAAACCGGGAGGCCUUUUUUAU
Molecule: regulatory RNA element, 126 nt
Organism: Enterobacter sp. 638
Lineage: Bacteria; Pseudomonadati; Pseudomonadota; Gammaproteobacteria; Enterobacterales; Enterobacteriaceae
Rfam family: Phenylalanine leader peptide
Source: Rfam